CCUACGGGAGGCAGCAGUAAGGAAUACUGGUCAAUGGACGCAAGUCUGAACCAGCCAUGCCGCGUGAAGGAUGAAGGUCCUCUGGAUUGUAAACUUCUUUUAUAUGGGAAGAAAUCCCGGAAUUCUUUCUGGGUUGACGGUACCAUAGGAAUAAGCACCGGCUAACUCCGUGCCAGCAGCCGCGGUAAU
This 189-nucleotide ribosomal RNA is filed under the name uncultured Flavobacteriia bacterium. Its description in RNAcentral is "partial 16S ribosomal RNA". It matches the Rfam family "Bacterial small subunit ribosomal RNA", at positions 338 to 524 of the family's 1533-position model. Lineage: Bacteria; Pseudomonadati; Bacteroidota; Flavobacteriia. The record is from RNAcentral.